CUUUGAUGGUGAUUGCAUCGUCUGUGGACCUAUUUGGGCGGUAAGCAAAUUGAAGUGGGUCAAGCACUUCAUGAUGACAGAAGUGACUUUCUAAUCAUUUAGUUUAGUUACCUUUGCAUUCUUUAUACAGGAAAUAUGUUGACCAUCUUGAAGCAUGUGGGGACAAGACCCAUAGCAAUUAAGGGAGAAAGACAAAGCUGUGUGUGAACUCGGACAUUUGUACUGCUGUACUUCCACCACACACUCACCGCUCUCUCCCUGGUCUGUCUCCUCCUGUCUGGUACUGGUACCUCCACCACACUCACCCUCUCUCUGUUCACCGUCUGCCGUGGCCUCUCUCCCCCUGUCUGGUACAGGUACCCCACCUCACUCCCCUCUCUCUCCUGAGCUUUUGCUCGCCUCCAGCACACACACACUGUUGGGUCGAGUGAUUCUGAACUUACAAUGGCCCCAAGUAGAUAUAUUUUUUCUUCCUCUGCAUUUAGCUAUUUUGCUAUUUGCCUCAUGACUCCUGUAUACUUUGGUGACUACAAACUUUCUUUUUACCCAACAGUGGGACAGACUAUGUUUGUUCCCACACUCAGAACUCUGGCUCUCUAUUACACAGACUUUUGGCCUCCCAUCCUAUUCUAACCACCUCUCACCGGCUUUGUGUUCAUGUUACCUGCUGAAAUUGCUGUACAACAUGAUCUUGUUGCCAUCUGAUGCACAUUCAGAUAUCAUAAAUCAGCACUGCAGAGCUCUCCCUGUCCUCUGCCGUGCCUUGAUUGUAUUACUGUUGAUGAUAUCUGGAAAUGUGCAUGUACACCCUGGCCCAUCUACUGUUGCUGGCCCUAAUUCUGACUUGUUCUCUGAUAUCUGCUUCACUGAUUUCUGCUCUCGUAAAAGCCUGGGUUUUCUGCACGUUAACACUAGAAGCUUAUUACCUAAAAUGGAUCAAUUCAACGUGUGGGUUCACAGCUCCAAUACAGAUGUGUUGGUCAUUACUGAGACGUAGUUAAGGAAGAGUGUUUUGAAUACUGAUGUUAACCUGUCUGGUUGUAACCUUUUUUCGGCAAGACAGAUCUUCCAAAGGUGGGGGAGUGGCAAUCUUUACCAAGGAUCACCUUCAGUGCUCACUUGCUAAAGAAAACGUUAAUGAGCAAAGCCUUCCUUCAUGACCUGGCCUCUGUAAAUUGGUAUAGAAUCAGCAUGAUCCCCUCUGUCAAAUACCUUUAAAAAAAAUGUUUUAAGUGAUAUUGUUAACAUUUAUCCCCCUAUAAAGAAAAUUAGAAUUAAAAACAGGUUCAACCCCUGGUUUGAUAUGGCAGCGUUACUCCAUCUCAUGAAUUUGCAUUUGGCGAAAGUCUAAGCAUACUGAGUGUUACCGAUACAGGUGUCCUGUGUGUAUUUGUUCUCUCUCCUUCUGCCCUAGUCACAGGCGGCAGUCAUCAGUUGCCAAUCAGUCGCCAAUCUGAAGACACACCUGCUCCGUUUCCCUUACCCAAUCACAUCCCCUUUCCCUUGUUUUAAUUAAAAGAAACCC
Molecule: long non-coding RNA, 1525 nt
Organism: Oncorhynchus tshawytscha (Chinook salmon)
Lineage: Eukaryota; Metazoa; Chordata; Actinopteri; Salmoniformes; Salmonidae
Source: Ensembl